GAAGGGAAGCGGAGCCGCCCCGGCCAAGGGGAGGGGAGAGCGCGGGGGAGGGGACACCGCCCGGCCCGGCGCCCCCAGAGGCGGGCGGGCGGCCGCUCCGUGCUCCCCUCCGCGCGGCGGUACCUGCGCUGGAAGUCGGUCCGGAAGGGCGCCAGUUGCUUCUGAGUCCUGAGCUUGGCAGUCUUCCUGAUGCAGACAAGAGAUGGGACUUGCUUUGUAGUCAUCAGCCCCCGAGGCCUACAGAAGAAGAACAGUGAUGUUUACGUCGGGGGAUUCUAAUUCCUCAGCUUUGGCACUCCUGCAGCUGUCUCCUCAGCAACUCCUGCAUUGCCAUCUGAUUCAACACGUGCACAAGGAACACUUGCAAAGGGAGCUGAGUCAUUCUCUAAAUCUGGAACAUCAUCCUCGGAGCACAAAACUUUCCUCUGCAG
Pyrgilauda ruficollis (rufous-necked snowfinch) is the source of this 431-nucleotide long non-coding RNA. RefSeq lists it as uncharacterized. The record is from RefSeq and is a predicted model, not a curated record. NCBI's taxonomy places the organism in Eukaryota, Metazoa, Chordata, Aves, Passeriformes, Passeridae. The transcript has 3 exons.